AUACGGAGGGGGCUAGCGUUGUUCGGAAUUACUGGGCGUAAAGCGCACGUAGGCGGAUUAAAAAGUUAGAGGUGAAAUCCCAGGGCUUAACCCUGGGACUGCCUUUAAAACUAGUAGUCUAGAGUUCGAGAGAGGUGAGUGGAAUUCCAAGUGUAGAGGUGAAAUUCGUAGAUAUUUGGAGGAACACCAGUGGCGAAGGCGGCUCAUUGGCUCGAUACUGACGCUGAGGUGCGAAAGCGUGGGGAGCAAACAGGAUUAGAAACCCUAGUAGUCC
RNAcentral lists this ribosomal RNA (274 nucleotides) under uncultured bacterium. RNAcentral's name for it is "partial 16S ribosomal RNA". It matches the Rfam family "Bacterial small subunit ribosomal RNA", at positions 523 to 796 of the family's 1533-position model. The record is from RNAcentral.